RNAcentral lists this ribosomal RNA (424 nucleotides) under uncultured bacterium. RNAcentral's name for it is "partial 16S ribosomal RNA". It matches the Rfam family "Bacterial small subunit ribosomal RNA", at positions 355 to 769 of the family's 1533-position model. The record is from RNAcentral.
UGGGGAAUUUUGGACAAUGGGCGCAAGCCUGAUCCAGCCAUGCCGCGUGCGGGAAGAAGGCCUUCGGGUUGUAAACCGCUUUUGUCAGGGAAGAAAUCUUCUGAGUUAAUACCUCGGGAGGAUGACGGUACCUGAAGAAUAAGCACCGGCUAACUACGUGCCAGCAGCCGCGGUAAUACGUAGGGUGCAAGCGUUAAUCGGAAUUACUGGGCGUAAAGCGUGCGCAGGCGGUUUUGUAAGACAGAGGUGAAAUCCCCGGGCUCAACCUGGGAACUGCCUUUGUGACUGCAAGGCUUGAGUGCGGCAGAGGGGGAUGGAAUUCCGCGUGUAGCAGUGAAAUGCGUAGAUAUGCGGAGGAACACCGAUGGCGAAGGCAAUCCCCUCGGUGCCUGCACUGACGCUCAUGCACGAAAGCGUGGGGAGC